Molecule: ribosomal RNA, 433 nt
Filed under: uncultured bacterium
Lineage: Bacteria
Description: partial 16S ribosomal RNA
Rfam family: Bacterial small subunit ribosomal RNA
Source: RNAcentral
AACGAACGCUGGCGGCAUGCCUAACACAUGCAAGUCGAACGAGACCUUCGGGUCUAGUGGCGCACGGGUGCGUAACGCGUGGGAACCUGCCCUUAGGUUCGGAAUAACUCCCCGAAAGGGGUGCUAAUACCGGAUAAUGUCUUCGGACCAAAGAUUUAUCGCCUUUGGAUGGGCCCGCGUUGGAUUAGCUAGUUGGUAGGGUAAAAGCCUACCAAGGCGACGAUCCAUAGCUGGUCUGAGAGGAUGAUCAGCCACACUGGGACUGAGACACGGCCCAGACUCCUACGGGAGGGAGCCGGGGGGGAUAUUGGAACAUGGGGGAAAGACUGAUCCAGCCAUGGCGGGUGAGUUAAGAAGGCCCUAGGGUUGUAAAGCCUUUUUAACCCGGAGGAUAAUGACCGUACCGGGAGAAUAAGGCACGGCUAACUCCGUG